This 463-nucleotide ribosomal RNA is filed under the name uncultured bacterium. RNAcentral describes it as "partial 16S ribosomal RNA". It matches the Rfam family "Bacterial small subunit ribosomal RNA", at positions 28 to 507 of the family's 1533-position model. The record is from RNAcentral.
GAUGAACGCUGACAGAAUGCUUAACGCAUGCAAGUCGAUGGGGAAGUGGUGCUUGCACCAUGGUAACCAUGGCGGACGGGUGAGUAACGCGUAAGGAACUUACCUGCGGGACCGGGAUAACAGCAGGAAACUGCUGACAAGACCGGAUAAGGUCAUUAAGCUGCAUAGCUUAGUGAUGAAAGGAGACGCCUGCGGAGAGCCUUGCGUCCUAUUAGCUAGUUGGAGGGGUAACGGCCCACCAAGGCGAAGAUAGGUAGCCGGCCUGAGAGGGUGGACGGCCACAAGGGGACUGAGAGACGGCCCUUACUCCUACGGGAGGCAGCAGUGGGGAAUAUUGGACAAUGGGGGCAACCCUGAUCCAGCAAUUCUGUGUGCACGAAGACGGUUUUCGGAUUGUAAAGUGCUUUCAGCAGGGAAGAAGGAAGUGACGGUACCUGCAGAAGAAGCGACGGCUAAAUACGUG